AUGCUGCUAGUAUAAAUUGAUUAUAUCACUUUUCCAAAGUGGGGAUCUAUGGCGAUAGGUGGCGUA
RNAcentral lists this transfer RNA (66 nucleotides) under Bothridium pithonis. RNAcentral describes it as "tRNA-Gly". Lineage: Eukaryota; Metazoa; Platyhelminthes; Cestoda; Diphyllobothriidea; Diphyllobothriidae. The record is from RNAcentral.